UACGUAGGGGGCGAGCGUUGUCCGGAUUUAUUGGGCGUAAAGAGCGUGUAGGCGGCCAGGUAGGUCUGCUGUGAAAACUCGAGGCUCAACCUCGAGACGUCGGCGGAAACCAUCUGGCUAGAGUCCGGAAGAGGAGAGUGGAAUUCCUGGUGUAGCGGUGAAAUGCGCAGAUAUCAGGAAGAACACCCGUGGCGAAGGCGACUUUCUGGUCUGUAACUGACACUGAGGCGCGAAAGCGUGGGGAGCAAACAGG
RNAcentral lists this ribosomal RNA (253 nucleotides) under uncultured bacterium. Its description in RNAcentral is "partial 16S ribosomal RNA". It matches the Rfam family "Bacterial small subunit ribosomal RNA", at positions 524 to 776 of the family's 1533-position model. The record is from RNAcentral.